This 579-nucleotide small RNA is filed under the name Histoplasma ohiense. RNAcentral describes it as "hypothetical lncRNA". Lineage: Eukaryota; Fungi; Ascomycota; Eurotiomycetes; Onygenales; Ajellomycetaceae. The record is from RNAcentral.
UCUGGUCAAAGAACUUGCAGAGGUGUCAGUUCAGAGUGCUGCUGGGUGUUUAAUACUUGAGUCUGUCCUCAUCACUGUAAUUGCUCAGCCAACUGCACCUGCUCGUGAUGUCGCCGCGGAGCACGGCGCUUUCUCUUUUUUCUAGUCCCUGGCGCUCUUGGAUUGCCAGCGAAACUUUAUCCCGCAAGGAGAAAUACUGAUGAUGCCAACAGACUAGCCGUUUCACCACAAGAAUCAGCAAGAUCUUCUCUCCGAUCUUGUUUUCCACGUCUCACGCUGAUUAGAGCACGAAAUUAUAUUCCGACGGGCCGAACUUAGAGGUCAACCUGCUGAGGUGGUAAAAUCGUGCCUUAGCUUGUUCCCCCUCACCCACUAUUCUUGCGAGCUUCUCGCACCGCCAACUAAGGGUGGAGGAAGAAAAGAAUUAAACAAGGACUAGAAGACAAAAAGAAUACCAAGUAUGUUCAUCCCGCAAACUAUGCAACCAUGAAAGAGAAUAUGUAUAACCUUAGAGGAGUUCUCGAGUACUUGAACAUAGUUCGACAAUCGGAUGAGUGCAUACUGUUCCUUUCAGAGUCA